This 462-nucleotide ribosomal RNA is filed under the name uncultured bacterium. RNAcentral describes it as "bacterial SSU rRNA". It matches the Rfam family "Bacterial small subunit ribosomal RNA", at positions 8 to 507 of the family's 1533-position model. The record is from RNAcentral.
AGAGUUUGAUCCUGGCUCAGGAUGAACGCUGGCGGCGUGCCUAAUACAUGCAAGUCGUGCGGAAAGGCCACUUCGGUGGUACUCGAGCGGCGGACGGCAGAGUAACGCGUAGGAACAUACCCCAAACUGAGGGAUAACUGCUCGAAAGAGUAGCUAAUACCGCAUGUGAUCUUCGGAUUAAAGCUUCGGCGGUUUGGGAAUGGCCUGCGUCCGAUUAGCUUGUUGGUGAGGUAAUAGCUCACCAAGGCGACGAUCGGUAGCUGGUCUGAGAGGAUGAUCAGCCUGACUGGAACUGAGAACGGUCCAGACUCCUACGGGAGGCAGCAGUAGGGAAUUUUCCACAAUGGGCGAAAGCCUGAUGGAGCAACGCCGCGUGCAGGAUGAAUGCCUUCGGGUUGUAAACUGCUUUUAUUAGUGAAGAAUAUGACGGUAACUAAUGAAUAAGGGUCGGCUAACUACGUG